This 254-nucleotide ribosomal RNA is filed under the name uncultured bacterium. RNAcentral describes it as "partial 16S ribosomal RNA". It matches the Rfam family "Bacterial small subunit ribosomal RNA", at positions 524 to 776 of the family's 1533-position model. The record is from RNAcentral.
UACGUAGGGGGCGAGCGUUGUCCGGAUUUAUUGGGCGUAAAGAGCUCGUAGGCGGUUUGGUAAGUCAGGUGUGAAAUCUCCACGCUCAACGUGGAGGGGCCACCUGAUACUGCCAUGACUGGAGUCCGGUAGAGGAGUGUGGAAUUCCCGGUGUAGCGGUGAAAUGCGCAGAUAUCGGGAGGAACACCCGUGGCUAAGGCGGCUCUCUAGUACGGUACUGACGCUGAGACGCGAAAGCGUGGGGAGCGAACAGG